Molecule: ribosomal RNA, 936 nt
Filed under: Fomitopsis juniperina
Lineage: Eukaryota; Fungi; Basidiomycota; Agaricomycetes; Polyporales; Fomitopsidaceae
Description: LSU rRNA
Rfam family: Eukaryotic large subunit ribosomal RNA
Source: RNAcentral
AGCAUAUCAAUAAGCGGAGGAAAAGAAACUAACAAGGAUUCCCCUAGUAACUGCGAGUGAAGCGGGAAAAGCUCAAAUUUAAAAUCUGGCGGUCUUUGACCGUCCGAGUUGUAGUCUGGAGAAGUGCUUUCCGCGCUGGACCGUGUACAAGUCUCUUGGAACAGAGCGUCAUAGAGGGUGAGAAUCCCGUCUUUGACACGGACUACCAGUGCUUUGUGAUGCGCUCUCAAAGAGUCGAGUUGUUUGGGAAUGCAGCUCAAAAUGGGUGGUAAAUUCCAUCUAAAGCUAAAUAUUGGCGAGAGACCGAUAGCGAACAAGUACCGUGAGGGAAAGAUGAAAAGCACUUUGGAAAGAGAGUUAAACAGUACGUGAAAUUGCUGAAAGGGAAACGCUUGAAGUCAGUCGCGUUGGCCAGGACUCAGCCUUGCUUUUGCUUGGUGCACUUUCUGGUUGACGGGCCAGCAUCGAUUUUGACCGCUGGAAAAAGGUUGGGGGAAUGUGGCACCUUCGGGUGUGUUAUAGCCCUCAGUCACAUACGGUGGUUGGGAUCGAGGACCGCAGCACGCCUUUAUGGCCGGGGUUCGCCCACGUUCGUGCUUAGGAUGCUGGCGUAAUGGCUUUAAACGACCCGUCUUGAAACACGGACCAAGGAGUCUAACAUGCCUGCGAGUGUUUGGGUGGAAAACCCGAGCGCGUAAUGAAAGUGAAAGUUGAGAUCCCUGUCGCGGGGAGCAUCGACGCCCGGACCUGAACUUCGGUGAUGGCUCUGCGGUAGAGCAUGUAUGUUGGGACCCGAAAGAUGGUGAACUAUGCCUGAAUAGGGUGAAGCCAGAGGAAACUCUGGUGGAGGCUCGUAGCGAUUCUGACGUGCAAAUCGAUCGUCAAAUUUGGGUAUAGGGGCGAAAGACUAAUCGAACCAUCUAGUAGCUGGUUCCU